CCAUAAUAUAUAACUAAACUAUUGUUGUAUGUAAAGUAAAUAAGGUUUUUAAAAUGUUCAAGAAGCUUCAUUUAAAAUUAAAUUAAAAUGCAGAGCCCCCCGGACCGGCGGCCAGGACCCAGGCAGUGUGAGUGCCCCUGACAAUCAGCUUGCAUGCCGCCUUCGGCAAGCGUGCCAUAGGUUGCCUACCCCUGUUAUAUGCCAUGUGAA
Molecule: long non-coding RNA, 210 nt
Organism: Chelonia mydas (Green sea turtle)
Lineage: Eukaryota; Metazoa; Chordata; Testudines; Cheloniidae
Exons: 3
Source: RefSeq, a predicted model, not a curated record